Molecule: ribosomal RNA, 589 nt
Filed under: uncultured bacterium
Lineage: Bacteria
Description: bacterial SSU rRNA
Rfam family: Bacterial small subunit ribosomal RNA
Source: RNAcentral
CAUUAAGUGCCCCGCCUGGGGAGUACGGCCGCAAGGCUAAAACUCAAAGGAAUUGACGGGGGCCCGCACAAGCGGCGGAGCAUGCGGAUUAAUUCGAUGCAACGCGAAGAACCUUACCAAGGCUUGACAUGUGCCGGUCUGCUCCGGAGACGGGGUUUCCUCCCUUGUGGGGGCUGGUUCACAGGUGGUGCAUGGUUGUCGUCAGCUCGUGUCGUGAGAUGUUGGGUUAAGUCCCGCAACGAGCGCAACCCUUGUCUCGUGUUGCCAGCACGUUGUGGUGGGGACUCGCGGGAGACUGCCGGGGUCAACUCGGAGGAAGGUGGGGAUGACGUCAAAUCAUCAUGCCCCUUAUGUCUUGGGCUUCACGCAUGCUACAAUGGCCGGUACAGAGGGCUGCGAUACCGUGAGGUGGAGCGAAUCCCUUAAAGCCGGUCUCAGUUCGGAUCGGUGUCUGCAACUCGACACCGUGAAGUUGGAGUCGCUAGUAAUCGCAGAUCAGCAACGCUGCGGUGAAUACGUUCUCGGGCCUUGUACACACCGCCCGUCACGUCAUGAAAGUCGGCAACACCCGAAGCCCGUGGCCCUACGG